ACUGGAUCAUAUUGCCUUAUGACGGCUUUAGCCAAACUUGUGUGAUGAACGAAAUGUAAAAUUAACCGUUAAUUUUCGUUUCAAAAGCAUUUUGCAUCACUUCACGGACAAACUCGUUUCUACUGAGACAUUCUUCUUCUCUUCAGGCAAGCUAACUUGAUAUGCGGGCAUUAUUUGAUAGAGUCGUUUUGGUUUCGAUAUUGCUACUGAUUUCAAAGAAUGUUUAUAGUCUGGUGGCGUACAUCGAGCAAGAAAAAGGUAAAACGUUUCUGUGCAUUCAAUGAAAAUAAUUAUCUAAAUCACUGUAUGAUCUCAAUGCGAGCAAAUUAUUAUUCGGUAUUUGUAUAUAGUAUAACAAUUCCAGAAUGAAACAAUGUCACUGCCUUACAAAUGUGCUGUGUAAGCAGAUAAAUAUAUAUUUGCAUUUUGUUUAUAUUUAAUACGCUCUAUAUGACUAUAUAUGAGAACAAUCCUUUCUGCUUGAUAAUGUUGAUCUUGGAUACGGAAAAUGUCAAAUUUAUAGUGGCAAAAAUCCAAUAGAAAACCAUCCAGAAUUCUAUGAAGUUAAAUGCAGAAAAGGGGAUUUCCCUUUUGCAACUUGUUAACUUACCAUGACGUCAUGCUGACAUUAUUUAACCAUGCUUAUAUUGUCAGCAAAAGUUGGUUGUAAAACAAGUUUUAUAAUAUAUAUUUGCUUUGAUUUGCAAAUUUUUUUGAUUUGCAAAAUUUCGUUUUUUUAAACAAUUAAUUCCCUGAAUUUGAGAUAAUUUGUUAAUUAAAAAGGGGGUUCAUAAUUUAUCUAAGGGAGGGAAGAGGCUAUGGUGAUUUUGAGGUCUCUAUUUUUAAACAG
Molecule: non-coding RNA, 850 nt
Organism: Paramuricea clavata
Lineage: Eukaryota; Metazoa; Cnidaria; Anthozoa; Malacalcyonacea; Plexauridae
Source: the annotation of a GenBank genome assembly